Molecule: ribosomal RNA, 280 nt
Filed under: uncultured bacterium
Lineage: Bacteria
Description: partial 16S ribosomal RNA
Rfam family: Bacterial small subunit ribosomal RNA
Source: RNAcentral
AACGAACGCUGGCGGCAGGCCUAACACAUGCAAGUCGAACGCUCGUAGCAAUACGGGAGUGGCAGACGGGUGAGUAACACGUGGGAACGUACCCUUCGGUUCGGGAUAACUCAGGGAAACUUGAGCUAAUACCGGAUACGUCCGAGAGGAGAAAGAUUUAUUGCCGAAGGAUCGGCCCGCGUCUGAUUAGCUAGUUGGUGAGGUAAUGGCUCACCAAGGCGACGAUCAGUAGCUGGUCUGAGAGGAUGAUCAGCCACAUUGGGACUGAGACACGGCCCAA